This is a long non-coding RNA of Oncorhynchus tshawytscha (Chinook salmon), 1751 nucleotides long. Lineage: Eukaryota; Metazoa; Chordata; Actinopteri; Salmoniformes; Salmonidae. The record is from Ensembl.
UCUCUUUUCCAGCCCCGUUCACCACCACUCUUUUCUAGCCCCAUUCACCCCAUCCAGCCCUGUUCACCCAUUCCAGCCCCGUUCACCACCGCUCUUUUCCAGCCCCGUUCACCACCACUCUUCUCCAGCCCCGUUCACCACCGCUCUUUUCUAGCCCCAUUCACCUUCUCCAGCCCCGUUCACCACCCCUCCUCUCCAGCCCCAUUCACCAUCUCUCUUUUCCAGCCCCGUUCACCACCUCUCUUUUCCAGCCCCGUUCACCACCUCUCUUCUCCAGCCCCGUUCACCACCCCUCUUCUCCAGCCCCGUUCACCACCUCUCCAGCCCCGUUCACCCCCUCUCCAGCCCCGUUCACCACCUCUCCAGCCCCGUUCACCACCUCUCCAGCCCCGUUCACCACCACUCCUCUCCAGCCCUGUUCACCACCUCUCCAGCCCCGUUCACCACCUCUCCUCUCCAGCCCCGUUCACCACCUCUCUUCUCCAGCCCCGUUCACCACCUCUCCAGCCCCGUUCACCACCUCUCCUCUCCAGCCCCGUUCACCACCUCUCCUCUCCAGCCCCGUUCACCUCCUUCUCCAGCCCCGUUCAUCACCUCUCCAGCACCAUUCACCACCUCCUCCAGCCCCGUUCACCUCCUCUCUUCUCCAGCCCCGUUCACCACCUCUCCAGCCCUGAGUCCUCUGCUCAGAAUGAGCUAAAAACUGAUCGACUGGACUGGUGGAGCAGAAUGUAGGCAUGAAAGGUUCAGACCAAUGGACAGUCUUACUCUGGAGCCUCCACUUCUUCUCUCAACCUGUUACAUAUCAGCUGAAAUACUGCAAUAAGACAAGACCAUAUCUAGAGGUGUUACUGAAAACGACUACUAUAAUAAUUCAGAUAUUUAGAUCUGGUAGCAAAUGGGAGUGUUGUAUCUUUUUGUCACAGGUCUGGUUGCCGAUUAGCUCUGGUCUAGGACGAUAGUGCGACUUGCUAACGCUGAGCCUUGACUAGUUGGUUGAUUUUCCAGCUCUAGUUUAACUAAUUAUAGAAUGGUUCCCAAAGAAAAUCGUUUCAACUUUAUUUAUUAAUCUCGAAGCAAUAUUCGGGUAUGUUGGAUUUACUAGCCGUGAGAGAGAGUUCAGUUUUGAUGUUAUUUUCAAUACACUUGAGGUGUUGUCGUUUCAUCCAAACGUUUUGACAGUUGGUCAAUCUGCCUUGUAUCGUUGAUUUUUUUAUUUUUAUUUACUUCAUAGACAUCUGAUGUCAUCUUCGUCCCAAAUGGAACACUUCCCUGGGGCUCUGGUCAAAUCCUAUCUAUGGUUAGGAGGUCAUCACAACUAAUGUCUUGGUUACAGUCAAGGGAUUCAAUGUCAGGAAUGGCUACGGUUUCAUCACCCAUGAAACCCACCAGGUUAUAAAGGAAAUUUAACCCAAGGAUGACUGCCAGAUUUAAAGGUGUAUAAAGGGGUUUUACAUGGCAUGAUGUCACUGUCGGACUGAUGUUAAUAGCAGACACAUUAUAAAACCUUUUAGGAUGAAACGAGAUAAAGGUUGACGUUAAAGUUGAAAAUAAGAGAACUUUGAAAGUGUGAACUGUCCCCUUUAAGCAGAGAGAGAGAGAGAGAGGGUGAACUGACCCCUUUAAGCAGAGAGAGAGAGAGAGAGGGUGAACUGACCCCUUUAAGCAGAGAGAGAGAGGCAGAGAGAGAGGGUGAACUGACCCCUUUAAGCAGAGAGAGAGAUAUGGUGAACUGACCCCUUUAAGCAGAG